GGAUCUUUAGCUCAGUUGGUUAGAGCGUUCGCUUCACACGCGAGAGGUCGCUGGUUCGAAUCCAGUAAGAUCCACCA
Molecule: transfer RNA, 77 nt
Rfam family: tRNA
About the family: Transfer RNA (tRNA) molecules are approximately 80 nucleotides in length. Their secondary structure includes four short double-helical elements and three loops (D, anti-codon, and T loops).